Molecule: ribosomal RNA, 291 nt
Filed under: uncultured microorganism
Description: partial 16S ribosomal RNA
Rfam family: Bacterial small subunit ribosomal RNA
Source: RNAcentral
GUGCCAGCAGCCGCGGUAUUACGGGGGUGCAAGCGUUAAUCGGAAUUACCCGGCCGUAAAGCGCACGCAGGCGGUUUGUAAGUCAGAUGUGAAAUCCCCGGGCUCAACUGGGGAACUGCAUCUGAUACUGGCAAGCUUGAGUCUCGUAGAGGGGGGUAGAAUUCCAGGUGUAGCGGUGAAAUGCGUAGAGAUCUGGAGGAAUACCGGUGGCGAAGGCGGCCCCCUGGACGAAGACUGACGCUCAGGUGCGAAAGCGUGGGGAGCAAACAGGAUUAGAUACCCUGGUAGUCC